Molecule: ribosomal RNA, 901 nt
Filed under: uncultured Oxalobacteraceae bacterium
Lineage: Bacteria; Pseudomonadati; Pseudomonadota; Betaproteobacteria; Burkholderiales; Oxalobacteraceae
Description: bacterial SSU rRNA
Rfam family: Bacterial small subunit ribosomal RNA
Source: RNAcentral
GCAAGUCGAACGGCAGCACGGACUUCGGUCUGGUGGCGAGUGGCGAACGGGUGAGUAAUAUAUCGGAACAUACCCUAGAGUGGGGGAUAACGUAGCGAAAGUUACGCUAAUACCGCAUACGCACUAAGGUGGAAAGUGGGGGAUCGCAAGACCUCAUGCUCAUGGAGUGGCCGAUAUCUGAUUAGCUAGUUGGUGAGGUAAAGGCUCACCAAGGCGACGAUCAGUAGCUGGUUUGAGAGAACGACCAGCCACGCUGGAACUGAGACACGGUCCAGACUCCUACGGGAGGCAGCAGUGGGGAAUUUUGGACAAUGGGCGCAAGCCUGAUCCAGCAAUGCCGCGUGAGUGAAGAAGGCCUUCGGGUUGUAAAGCUCUUUUGUCAGGGAAGAAACGGUAGUCUCUAAUACAGAUUACUAAUGACGGUACCUGAAGAAUAAGCACCGGCUAACUACGUGCCAGCAGCCGCGGUAAUACGUAGGGUGCAAGCGUCAAUCGGAAUUACUGGGCGUAAAGCGUGCGCAGGCGGUUAUAUAGGUCAGAUGUGAAAUCCCCGGGCUCAACCUGGGAACUGCAUUUGAGACUGUAUGGCUAGAGUGUGUCAGAGGGGGGUAGAAUUCCACGUGUAGCAGUGAAAUGCGUAGAUAUGUGGAGGAAUACCGAUGGCGAAGGCAGCCCCCUGGGAUAACACUGACGCUCAUGCACGAAAGCGUGGGGAGCAAACAGGAUUAGAUACCCUGGUAGUCCACGCCCUAAACGAUGUCUACUAGUUGUCGGGAUUUAAUUAUCUUGGUAACGCAGCUAACGCGUGAAGUAGACCGCCUGGGGAGUACGGUCGCAAGAUUAAAACUCAAAGGAAUUGACGGGGACCCGCACAAGCGGUGGAUGAUGUGGAUUAAUUCGA